This 426-nucleotide ribosomal RNA is filed under the name uncultured bacterium. RNAcentral describes it as "bacterial SSU rRNA". It matches the Rfam family "Bacterial small subunit ribosomal RNA", at positions 356 to 774 of the family's 1533-position model. The record is from RNAcentral.
GGGGAAUUUUGGACAAUGGACGCAAGUCUGAUCCAGCCAUGCCGCGUGCGGGAAGAAGGCCUUCGGGUUGUAAACCGCUUUUGUCAGGGAAGAAACGAGUUUCUCUAAUACAGAGACUUAAUGACGGUACCUGAAGAAUAAGCACCGGCUAACUACGUGCCAGCAGCCGCGGUAAUACGUAGGGUGCGAGCGUUAAUCGGAAUUUCUGGGCGUAAAGCGUGCGCAGGCGGUUAUAUAAGACAGAUGUGAAAUCCCCGGGCUCAACCUGGGAACUGCCUUUGUGACUGCAUAGCUAGAGUACGGUAGAGGGGGAUGGAAUUCCGCGUGUAGCAGUGAAAUGCGUAGAUAUGCGGAGGAACACCGAUGGCGAAGGCAAUCCCCUGGACCUGUACUGACGCUCAUGCACGAAAGCGUGGGGAGCAAACA